This 301-nucleotide ribosomal RNA is filed under the name uncultured bacterium. RNAcentral describes it as "partial 16S ribosomal RNA". It matches the Rfam family "Bacterial small subunit ribosomal RNA", at positions 509 to 807 of the family's 1533-position model. The record is from RNAcentral.
CAGUAGCCGCGGGAAUACGAAGGGUGCAAGCGUUAAUCGGAAUUACUGGGCGUAAAGCGUGCGUAGGCGGCUAAUUGAGUCGGAUGUGAAAUCCCCGAGCUUAACUUGGGAAUUGCAUUCGAUACUGGUUAGCUAGAGUGUGGGAGAGGAUGGUAGAAUUCCAGGUGUAGCGGUGAAAUGCGUAGAGAUCUGGAGGAAUACCGAUGGCGAAGGCAGCCAUCUGGCCUAACACUGACGCUGAGGUACGAAAGCAUGGGGAGCAAACAGGAUUAGAUACCCCGGUAGUCCCUGUCUCUUAUAC